GGUAAGGGCUCACCAAGGCGACGAUCCCUAGCUGGUCUGAGAGGAUGAUCAGCCACACUGGAACUGAGACACGGUCCAGACUCCUACGGGAGGCAGCAGUGGGGAAUAUUGCACAAUGGGCGCAAGCCUGAUGCAGCCAUGCCGCGUGUGUGAAGAAGGCCUUCGGGUUGUAAAGCACUUUCAGUCGUGAGGAAGGUAGUGUAGUUAAUAGCUGCAUUAUUUGACGUUAGCGACAGAAGAAGCACCGGCUAACUCCGUGCCAGCAGCCGCGGUAAUACGGAGGGUGCGAGCGUUAAUCGGAAUUACUGGGCGUAAAGCGCAUGCAGGUGGUUUGUUAAGUCAGAUGUGAAAGCCCGGGGCUCAACCUCGGAAUUGCAUUUGAAACUGGCAGACUAGAGUACUGUAGAGGGGGGUAGAAUUUCAGGUGUAGCGGUGAAAUGCGUAGAGAUCUGAAGGAAUACCGGUGGCGAAGGCGGCCCCCUGGACAGAUACUGACACUCAGAUGCGAAAGCGUGGGGAGCAAACAGGAUUAGAUACCCUGGUAGUCCACGCCGUAAACGAUGUCUACUUGGAGGUUGUGGCCUUGAGCCGUGGCUUUCGGAGCUAACGCGUUAAGUAGACCGCCUGGGGAGUACGGUCGCAAGAUUAAAACUCAAAUGAAUUGACGGGGGCCCGCACAAGCGGUGGAGCAUGUGGUUUAAUUCGAUGCAACGCGAAGAACCUUACCUACUCUUGACAUCCAGAGAACUUUCCAGAGAUGGAUUGGUGCCUUCGGGAACUCUGAGACAGGUGCUGCAUGGCUGUCGUCAGCUCGUGUUGUGAAAUGUU
RNAcentral lists this ribosomal RNA (828 nucleotides) under Vibrio sp. RNAcentral describes it as "bacterial SSU rRNA". It matches the Rfam family "Bacterial small subunit ribosomal RNA", at positions 256 to 1076 of the family's 1533-position model. Lineage: Bacteria; Pseudomonadati; Pseudomonadota; Gammaproteobacteria; Vibrionales; Vibrionaceae. The record is from RNAcentral.